This 550-nucleotide ribosomal RNA is filed under the name uncultured Gammaproteobacteria bacterium. RNAcentral describes it as "bacterial SSU rRNA". It matches the Rfam family "Bacterial small subunit ribosomal RNA", at positions 349 to 915 of the family's 1533-position model. The record is from RNAcentral. Lineage: Bacteria; Pseudomonadati; Pseudomonadota; Gammaproteobacteria.
CAGCAGUCGGGAAUAUUGGACAAUGGGCGAAAGCCUGAUCCAGCAAUACCGCGUGUGUGAAGAAGGCCUGCGGGUUGUAAAGCACUUUCAGUAGGGAAGAUAAUGACGUUACCUACAGAAGAGGCACCGGCUAACUCCGUGCCAGCAGCCGCGGUAAUACGGAGGGUGCAAGCGUUAAUCGGAAUUACUGGGCGUAAAGCGCACGUAGGCGGCUGUUUAAGUCGGAUGUGAAAGCCCCGGGCUCAACCUGGGAACUGCAUCCGAUACUGGGCAGCUAGAAUUUGGGAGAGGCGAGUGGAAUUUCCGGUGUAGCGGUGAAAUGCAUAGAGAUCGGAAGGAACACCAGUGGCGAAGGCGACUCGCCGGACCAAAAUUGACGCUGAGGUGCGAAAGCGUGGGUAGCAAACAGGAUUAGAUACCCUGGUAGUCCACGCCGUAAACGAUGUCAACUAGCCGUUGGUUCCAUUCAAGGGAUCAGUGGUGCAGCUAACGCAUUAAGUUGACCGCCUGGGGAGUACGCGCGCAAGCGUAAAACUCAAAUNAAUUGACG